CCGUCAUUUGCUUACCUCCGUGUGCCAGCGGAACCGUCAUUAUUAUCCUGUGAGCCGAAGCGGCACAAACGGGUUGUCAGAGCAGAUGCUGGUCGGUUGCUGGGUCAUGGGAGCUUCUGAGGACCUGUGAGAGGCUGGGCCCCCAGACCCACAGCCUGGCAUCAGAAGGCAGCACAGCUAGGCUCUUUCCUCCCCCGUAUAUCAGCACCAGAGGGAAGACUCCUGGAAAAGAGGGCAACACCUGUCACAAUAGGCUUGCCACAGUGGCAGGGAUGCAAACGCGCCAGUGGAACAGACGCCCCGCCUGAACAGCACAUGGUCCACAGCCUGCAAAAGUACCCCAGGCCUGACACUCAACUAGAGAUGUAGUGGAUGAAACCUCCAGGAUGUGGUAAAACAGUGCCCAUCAUUCCAGCAAUCAAGACACUCUAACUUGAGGAAAAAAACAGUCAAAUGACAGCAACAGUCAGGUGAAUUCCAUGUUGCAAUUAUAUGGCGAUGUUUUAGAGCCGGAGAG
Leopardus geoffroyi (Geoffroy's cat) is the source of this 517-nucleotide long non-coding RNA. RefSeq lists it as uncharacterized. The transcript has 3 exons. NCBI's taxonomy places the organism in Eukaryota, Metazoa, Chordata, Mammalia, Carnivora, Felidae. The record is from RefSeq and is a predicted model, not a curated record.